CCGGCAGUCCGGCAGAAUUGCUCCCCGAAUAAACGAGGAGCGCAUUCAUGUCCCCGGAUAGCGGGUUCUGUUGACACUGUUGCCCUGGCGGGUCCCGACGACCUAAGCGUCGAGGGCGGGGUGAUGUUGGCAUCGGUGCUGGGAUCCUUGGCAGCCCUGGCGUCGAUGGCCGUCACCUUGGCGCUGUGCUACCUCUUUUGGCGAAAGAGGUCCGCCGCCAAGGAGGCCAAAGACGAGUUGGAGCCCUUGCAAGUCGGAGUACCAACAUCUUCGCAAGGGACACCCAACAAAGGGGCACAACCAGCAAAUAAAACAAAUAAUAAAAGUGUUGUUGAACUGACCAGACACAACGUCGAGGAUAGGCUUUACCAGGGUGCUGUCGCCGCCUCGUCGCUAUCUCUGGACAGGUAAGAACAAAUUUAUUCUUGCGCAUUAAUUGUUUUUCUCUUGUACCUUUCUCAUGUAUUCCAUAUUAUGCAUUUCAUUGGAAUAGGCAUAUUGGCUAUAUAUGCACUAUAAUAAUGAAUGAGUAAACUAAGAUAGUUAUAGGUGAUGUAGGGCAAAUGCCUUAAGCUACAGCACAUAAAUUUGUGCUAUUACCCGUUUAUUAUUACCGUUCGCAAGUUACGGGCAGUGGCCAACAAGAAACUAAAAAAAAAAAUCUCAGAAAGGGAUAACUCAGAGUGCAAAACUCGUAACCAAAUCCAGGAAAACCUCUUCAUGUUCUUUUCAAAAGAAAUUGCAAAUUUAAAACCUAUUUGGCUCAUUGCCGAUUGUAGUUAACGCGACAGAUAACGAUACAAACAUAUACCCAAUUUGACUCACACAUAAUCCUAACAAAAUCAGUUUUUUUUAUAUCCGUCGUUUCACAGCCAACCCAGUUUUUGA
Molecule: non-coding RNA, 888 nt
Organism: Parasteatoda tepidariorum (common house spider)
Lineage: Eukaryota; Metazoa; Arthropoda; Arachnida; Araneae; Theridiidae
Source: RefSeq, a predicted model, not a curated record